Molecule: ribosomal RNA, 869 nt
Filed under: uncultured bacterium
Lineage: Bacteria
Description: bacterial SSU rRNA
Rfam family: Bacterial small subunit ribosomal RNA
Source: RNAcentral
AGGGAAUCCCCAGUGUAGCGGUGAAAUGCGUAGAUAUUGGGAAGAACACCGGUGGCGAAAGCGCUCUGCUGGGCCGAACCUGACGCUGAGGGACGAAAGCUAGGGGAGCGAAUGGGAUUAGAUACCCCAGUAGUCCUAGCCGUAAACGAUGGAGACUAGGUGUUGCCUGUAUCGACCCGGGCAGUGCCGAAGCCAACGCGUUAAGUCUCCCGCCUGGGGAGUACGCACGCAAGUGUGAAACUCAAAGGAAUUGACGGGGGCCCGCACAAGCGGUGGAGUAUGUGGUUUAAUUCGAUGCAACGCGAAGAACCUUACCAGGGCUUGACAUCCCGCGAAUCCCGGCGAAAGUUGGGAGUGCCUACGGGAGCGCGGAGACAGGUGGUGCAUGGCUGUCGUCAGCUCGUGUCGUGAGAUGUUGGGUUAAGUCCCGCAACGAGCGCAACCCUCGUCCUUAGUUGCCAGCCUUAAGUGGGGCACUCUAGGGAGACUGCCGGUGAUAAACCGGAGGAAGGUGGGGAUGACGUCAAGUCAUCAUGCCCCAUAUGUCCUGGGCGACACACGUACUACAAUGGUCGGGACAGCGAGCAGCCAACUCGCGAGAGUGAGCUAAUCUCUCAAACCCGGCCUCAGUUCAGAUUGCAGGCUGCAACUCGCCUGCAUGAAGGAGGAAUCGCUAGUAAUCGCAGGUCAGCAUACUGCGGUGAAUCCGUUCCCGGGCCUUGUACACACCGCCCGUCACACCAUGGAAGUCGGCCAUGCCCGAAGUCAUUACUCUAACCGUUCGCGGAGGAGGGUGCCGAAGGCAGGGCUGAUGACUGGGGUGAAGUCGUAACAAGGUAGCCGUACCGGAAGGUGUGGCUGGAUCACCU